GAUGAACGCUGGCGGCGUGCCUAAUACAUGCAAGUCGAGCGAACGGACGAGAAGCUUGCUUCUCUGAUGUUAGCGGCGGACGGGUGAGUAACACGUGGAUAACCUACCUAUAAGACUGGGAUAACUUCGGGAAACCGGAGCUAAUACCGGAUCAUAUUUUGAACCGCAUGGUUCAAAAGUGAAAGACGGUCUUGCUGUCACUUAUAGAUGGAUCCGCGCUGCAUUAGCUAGUUGGUAAGGUAACGGCUUACCAAGGCAACGAUGCAUAGCCGACGUGAGAGGGUGAUCGGCCACACUGGAACUGAGACACGGUCCAGACUCCUACGGGAGGCAGCAGUAGGGAAUCUUCCGCAAUGGGCGAAAGCCUGACGGAGCAACGCCGCGGGAGUGAUGAAGGUCUUCGGAUCGUAAAACUCUGUUAUUAGGGAAGAACAUAUGUGUAAGUAACUGUGCACAUCUUGACGGUACCUAAUCAGAAAGCCACGGCUAACUACGUG
Molecule: ribosomal RNA, 497 nt
Filed under: uncultured bacterium
Lineage: Bacteria
Description: partial 16S ribosomal RNA
Rfam family: Bacterial small subunit ribosomal RNA
Source: RNAcentral